Sphaeramia orbicularis (orbiculate cardinalfish) is the source of this 309-nucleotide long non-coding RNA. RefSeq lists it as uncharacterized. The record is from RefSeq and is a predicted model, not a curated record. The transcript is spliced from 3 exons. Lineage: Eukaryota; Metazoa; Chordata; Actinopteri; Kurtiformes; Apogonidae.
UAUCAACACCUCCUACUAGCGCUCUACCAAACACACUCCAUAUGAGAUCCUUUUGAAGAGGGUACCCCAGUCUGUGACAAUGCUCAACCAAGCGACAAGUCAUGAUGAUCCGGACCAGGAAAGCAUGCCAACCAUCCAAGAUGUGCCGCCUGAAGCCAUAGACGACCACAUGGAUACCAUGAUGGCACAAGCAGAAAAAAUAAAUGAAAAGAUAAAGGAGAAUAUUGGUGUGGCCCAAGCAAGGCAGAAAAAAGAAUAUGAUCAGCGCAAGCAGAAAGGUGUUAAAAGUUUCAACUUUUCCGUGGGAGA